This is a non-coding RNA of Microdochium nivale, 103 nucleotides long. The record is from the annotation of a GenBank genome assembly. Lineage: Eukaryota; Fungi; Ascomycota; Sordariomycetes; Xylariales; Microdochiaceae.
GUCUGCGUGGCGCAAUGGUAGCGCGUUGGACUUCUAUCCCGCUGAGAUUCUGUCUCGGAUAGAUGGUAUCCAAAGGCUGUGGGUUCGAGCCCCACCGUGGAUG